GAUGAAGAACGCAGCGAAAUGCGAUACUUGGUGUGAAUUGCAGAAUCCCGUGAACCAUCGAGUCUUUGAACGCAAGUUGCGCCUCAAGCCAUUAGGUUGAGGGCACGUCUGCCUGGGCGUCACAUAUCGUUGCCUGAUGCCAGUUUCCUCGUGAUGGGUGACUGUGCAGGGCGAAUGAUGGCUUCCCGUGAGCAUUGUUGCCUCAUGGUUGGUUGAAAAUUGAGUCCUUGGUAGGGAGCGCCGUGAUAGAUGGUGGUUGAGUGACGAACGAGACCCAAUCAUGUGAGACCCCUACCGAAUUUGGCCUUCAUGACCCACAUGCGUCUUUGGAACGCUCAUGACGAGACCUCAGGUCAGGCGGUGCUACCCGCUGAGUUUAAGCAUAUCAAUAAGCGGAGGA
Molecule: unclassified non-coding RNA, 400 nt
Filed under: soil metagenome
Description: partial contains 5.8S ribosomal RNA, internal transcribed spacer 2, and large subunit ribosomal RNA
Rfam family: 5.8S ribosomal RNA (bases 1-122)
Source: RNAcentral